RNAcentral lists this ribosomal RNA (327 nucleotides) under uncultured eukaryote. RNAcentral's name for it is "partial 18S ribosomal RNA". It matches the Rfam family "Eukaryotic small subunit ribosomal RNA", at positions 1470 to 1796 of the family's 1831-position model. The record is from RNAcentral.
CCCUUAGAUGUUCUGGGCCGCACGCGCGCUACACUGACGAAUGCAACGAGCUUAUAACCUUGGCCGAAAGGUCUGGGUAAUCUCCAAAUUUCGUCGUGAUGGGGAUAGAUUAUUGCAAUUAUUAAUCUUCAACGAGGAAUGCCUAGUAAGCGCAAGUCAUCAGCUUGCGUUGAUUACGUCCCUGCCCUUUGUACACACCGCCCGUCGCUCCUACCGAUUGAAUGGUCCGGUGAAGCGUUCGGACCGUGGCCUUUGGACGGUUCGCCGUCUGUUGGCUGCGGGAAGUUCGUUAAACCUUAUAAUUUAGAGGAAGGAGAAGUCGUAACA